This 348-nucleotide unclassified non-coding RNA is filed under the name soil metagenome. RNAcentral describes it as "partial contains 5.8S ribosomal RNA, internal transcribed spacer 2, and large subunit ribosomal RNA". The stretch from base 1 to 120 matches the Rfam family "5.8S ribosomal RNA", at positions 35 to 154 of the family's 154-position model. The record is from RNAcentral.
GAUGAAGAACGUAGUGAAAUGCGAUAAUUAAUGUGAAUUGCAGAAUUCCGUGAAUCAUCGAAUCUUUGAACGCACAUUGCGCCCGCCAGUAUUCUGGCGGGCAUGCCUGUCUGAGCGUCAUUUCAACCCUCAUGCCCCUAGGGCGUGGUGUUGGGGAUCGGCCAAAGCCCGCGAGGGACGGCCGGCCCCUAAAUCUAGUGGCGGACCCGUCGUGGCCUCCUCUGCGAAGUAGUGAUAUUCCGCAUCGGAGAGCGAUGAGCCCCUGCCGUUAAACCCCCAACUUUCCAAGGUUGACCUCAGAUCAGGUAGGAAUACCCGCUGAACUUAAGCAUAUCAAUAAGCGGAGGA